GCUAGCUGGAGUAUCCUCUUACUGCUUACCUUCAGCGGCCACGCAGAUGUACUUCUCAUCGUCCCGUUAAGUUUUCCAGGAAGUCCCAGCUUAGCACAGGACCCCGACCCGGACCACCACCGACAAAGUAAUUCUCCACCACUUACAACAACAACGUCAAGCAACGGUUUGGGCCCGCCCACGUGAGCGGAGGAGCCAAUCACGACGUCCUGCUGCUUUAAUGGUGCAGACGCUAACCAAUGAGCACGCCCAGAAGCUGACUGAUUUUCCCCAGUAGAGUAAACACCAAAUGAGAACAGAGGCUGCUGGAAGAGAAGGGGACCAGAGGGGUUAGUCCCAGUACCCUAUAGGCGGCGUGGAGUUGACAAAAAGCAAUGAAUGAGAUCAUCCCGAAUGAUGUAAACGUUUCGUCACAGAGGUCGA
Molecule: long non-coding RNA, 423 nt
Organism: Poecilia latipinna (sailfin molly)
Lineage: Eukaryota; Metazoa; Chordata; Actinopteri; Cyprinodontiformes; Poeciliidae
Exons: 2
Source: RefSeq, a predicted model, not a curated record